CCUACGGGGGGCAGCAGUGGGGAAUAUUGCACAAUGGGGGAAACCCUGAUGCAGCAACGCCACGUGAGCGAUGAAUGCCUUCAGGUCGUAAAGCUCUGUCCUAAGGGAAGAAUACUGACGGUACCUUAGGAGGAAGCCCCGGCUAACUACGUGCCAGCAGCCGCGGUAAUACGUAUGGGGCUAUCGUUAUCCGGAAUUACUGGGCGUAAAGGGUGCGUGGACGGCCCAUCAAGUCAGAGGUGAAAGGCUACGGCUCAACCGUAGUAAGCCUUUGAAACUGUAGGGCUUGAGUGAAGGAGAGGAGAGUGGACUUCCUGGUGUAGCGGUGAAAUGCGUAGAUAUUGGGAGGAACACCAGUUGCGAAGGCGGCUCUCUGGACUGUACCUGACGCUGAGGCACGAAAGCGUGGGGAGCGAACAGGAUUAGAUACCCUGGUAGUC
This 440-nucleotide ribosomal RNA is filed under the name uncultured bacterium. Its description in RNAcentral is "bacterial SSU rRNA". It matches the Rfam family "Bacterial small subunit ribosomal RNA", at positions 338 to 795 of the family's 1533-position model. The record is from RNAcentral.